UACUUCUGUGAUCGAGUUGUCCUGAUCACCUUAAUCAAACAUAAUUGCAUCAGAAUGUACCCUCUCUUAUUUUUAUAAUUUCCUUUAUUUCUUUUACCAAACUCUAUAUAAGACUUCACCUUCUCGACACAGCUCAUGCACUCCUUCCUCCUUCCCUGCACCCAUCCUCUCCACCUUCUCCCCUGUUCUUAUGGCGUACCUCUUCUUUCUCAUCUAAGGCGUUACAUGGAGGCUCAGGAAGUAUGGUGCAGCCAAGGAUGACUUGCCGACCCCUACAGAAAAAUUUGUUCUCAGAAGAAGUUUAGAGGAGUGAGUGGGCAAGUUGUCUUUGGCUACAUACUACUUCUUGCUCCCCAUGUUACGCUUUCUGAUGAUAAUGUUCCAUGUGGUUUUGGCUGUUCAGAAGAUAACCACUUGUUAGAUGUCCUUUUGGGUUUCCUGUGCUGGCUAAAUAUGCUGUGAUCCCACAUUCCUUGCUAGUACCCAAUUCUGCCAGUGAAGGGAUCCUCACAUGUGCUCAUGGAUUCUCUUUUUUGAGAAAAAGACGAAUGAGAAAUCAGUUGGUUUAGAGAUUUAAAGAUUUGGGAAGAUCGAUAUACUGGAUAAUACACCGCCCAUUAAAAAUCCAAAGGCGUAUCGAAGAACGGUGGUGCAGUAAAAUACCUCACAAUUACUUGACCUGAUAUUUAUUUUGUAGCCAACAAGAUCUGUCAGCAUAUGCAUCAGCCUACCAAUCAUCACUACCAACUUCUUAAAUGCCUUCUCUGCUAUCUACAGAGGACCAUUAUUUCUGAUAUCCUCAUUACACAUGGGGAUCUAUCUCUUCAAACCUAUUCCAAUGUUGAUUGGUUAGGCAAUUCAGUGAACUGGAAAUCAACCAUAGGUUUCUGUUCCCUCCUCGGUUCAACACCCAUCUCAUGGACAGUGAAGAAAAAACAUUUUUUUGCUCGGUCAUCCACAUAGGUGGAUUAUCGUUCCUUGGUCAUAGCAGCAGCAGAUAUUCUAUGGCUUCGACGUCUUUUUAUGGAGCUCGGAGUUGAUCAACCACACCUGAUGAAGCUAUUUUGUGACAAUGUCUCUACUAUUGCUUUUGCCAAUAAUCCUGUCUUCCACUUUGGAUCAAAUACAUCAAAAUUGAUUAUCACUUCAUUCGGGAUCACCUACAACAAGGUCAACCCGACAUCCAUUUUAUUCCUACACAAAAUCAACCGGGAGAUAUCCUCACUAAAGCGUUUGCUAAGCGGAAGUUCAAUUACUUCAAUUAAAAGCUUCGAGUCCUUUCCAAGAACCAUUACCCUGAAGGGGGAUCAUAGUCACAACCGAAUUAUGCAGCAUGACCAAUUGGUCUGACAACACCACAGUGGAUAGUAUAUUACUUAAAGCCAACCAAGAGCACUUUUGAAAAAAGGUAGAGUUUGCUACAAGAAUACUCCACUAAGGCCAAUUAAUGACCUUGCUUUUACUUUAAUGAACUAGGAUGACUGCCAAUGAAAUAUUUCCUCAUAAUCUGCAGAUUACAAAUGUUAUAUUUCUUCAGCCAAAGGAGGCCUGCCAAU
Long non-coding RNA from Phalaenopsis equestris, 1556 nucleotides. RefSeq lists it as uncharacterized. The record is from RefSeq and is a predicted model, not a curated record. Lineage: Eukaryota; Viridiplantae; Streptophyta; Magnoliopsida; Asparagales; Orchidaceae. The transcript has 3 exons.